GUUGGCCCAAUAAGUUUUUGUUUUAGGUGGGCCCAUUGGGCUUUGUUUUAAACUACAAUUUGGAUACCGAAGAUCAGAAUAGCCCAUUGGGCUUGCUCCAUUUUCCUAUCCGGACCAAUUUGCUUUGGGCUCGAAAUCAAGCUCCCAGUUCUUCUCUGAGACACGCUCGCUCACUCUUGCUAGAGGUGCUUCCAUGGAUUCCGAAACCCCAAAAAUCCGAGCGGUUCUGAAUUCUCCUUCUUCCUACUAGACUUUCGCCUUCAAAUUAUGGUUUCUACAGGGUUUAUCAUAUCGUCGUCAAUUUGGUAUCCUCCAAUUACCAGCUCUAAACCAGCUCUCAUUUACUGCACAACACACAUCACAUACAGAGUUUGAGAUACAGUGUAACUGUCUGCGUCACAUAGCUCCAAAUGGUUCUUCGAUGGCGUCAUGCUCAUCCGUUCGUCGGCUCGUCGUUCUUUCACAUCCCACCUCCUUCCCGAAUCCUGGAGCUCCGACCCAUGUUCUUAUACUCUCCAUAAUAUAAAGUAUUCAGUGCAAAUUCACCAUCCCACUCCAACCAACCUGCUGGAUCAACCAAACUAUCGAGGUCAUCUGUGGCCAUGACACGCGAGUUGUGGAUCGAAAUGCCAGUAUUUUGGUUUGGAUCAGUCCGUCCUUGAGCAGUGACUGCAUUCUUCUG
This is a non-coding RNA of Momordica charantia (bitter melon), 682 nucleotides long. NCBI's taxonomy places the organism in Eukaryota, Viridiplantae, Streptophyta, Magnoliopsida, Cucurbitales, Cucurbitaceae. The record is from RefSeq and is a predicted model, not a curated record.